AGAGUUUGAUCCUGGCUCAGGACGAACGCUGGCGGCACGCUUAACACAUGCAAGUCGAACGAGAGAAGAGGAGCUUGCUUUUCUGAUCUAGUGGCGGACGGGUGAGUAACACGUGAGCAAUCUGCCUUUCAGAGGGGGAUACCGAUUGGAAACGAUCGUUAAUACCGCAUAACAUAAUUGAACCGCAUGAUUUGAUUAUCAAAGAUUUAUCGCUGAAAGAUGAGCUCGCGUCUGAUUAGCUAGUUGGUAAGGUAACGGCUUACCAAGGCGACGAUCAGUAGCCGGACUGAGAGGUUGAUCGGCCACAUUGGGACUGAGACACGGCCCAGACUCCUACGGGAGGCAGCAGUGGGGAAUAUUGCACAAUGGAGGAAACUCUGAUGCAGCGAUGCCGCGUGAGGGAAGAAGGUUUUAGGAUUGUAAACCUCUGUCUUCAGGGACGAAAAAAGACGGUACCUGAGGAGGAAGCUCCGGCUAACUACGUGCCAGCAGCCGCGGUAAUACGUAGGGAGCGAGCGUUGUCCGGAAUUACUGGGUGUAAAGGGAGCGUAGGCGGGAUCGCAAGUCAGAUGUGAAAACUAUGGGCUUAACCCAUAAACUGCAUUUGAAACUGUGGUUCUUGAGUGAAGUAGAGGUAAGCGGAAUUCCUAGUGUAGCGGUGAAAUGCGUAGAUAUUAGGAGGAACAUCAGUGGCGAAGGCGGCUUACUGGGCUUUAACUGACGCUGAGGCUCGAAAGCGUGGGGAGCAAACAGGAUUAGAUACCCUGGUAGUCCACGCCGUAAACGAUGAUUACUAGGUGUGGGGGGACUGACCCCUUCCGUGCCGCAGCAAACGCAAUAAGUAAUCCACCUGGGGAGUACGACCGCAAGGUUGAGACUCAAAGGAAUUGACGGGGGCCCGCACAAGCAGUGGAGUAUGUGGAUUAAUUCGAAGCAACGCGAAGAACCUUACCAGGUCUUGACAUCGUAUGCAUAGCUCAGAGAUGAGUGAAAUCUCUUCGGAGACAUAUAGACAGGUGGUGCAUGGUUGUCGUCAGCUCGUGUCGUGAGAUGUUGGGUUAAGUCCCGCAACGAGCGCAACCCUUACUGUUAGUUGCUACGCAAGAGCACUCUAGCAGGACUGCCGUUGACAAAACGGAGGAAGGUGGGGAUGACGUCAAAUCAUCAUGCCCCUUAUGACCUGGGCCUCACACGUACUACAAUGGCUGUCAACAGAGGGAAGCAAAGCCGCGAGGUGGAGCGAACCCCUAAAAGAAGUCUUAGUUCGGAUUGUAGGCUGCAACCCGCCUACAUGAAGUCGGAAUUGCUAGUAAUCGCAGAUCAGCAUGCUGCGGUGAAUACGUUCCCGGGCCUUGUACACACCGCCCGUCACGCCAUGGGAGUCGGUAACACCCGAAGCCAGUGACCCAACCGUAAGGAGGGAGCUGCCGAAGGUGGGACCGAUAACUGGGGUGAAGUCGUAACAAGGUA
Molecule: ribosomal RNA, 1470 nt
Filed under: metagenome
Description: bacterial SSU rRNA
Rfam family: Bacterial small subunit ribosomal RNA
Source: RNAcentral